AUGGUCUUGCCUUGUGCUCGUGCCCUUAUGGCCUUAUUUACGAAACAAGUUGAAUGCUUGUGGUAUCAGAUAUUAAGACCGUGGCUACCAAGCGAUACGAUAAAAAUCUCAAGUUAUCAGUAUGGUGUGCGGCACCUGUGUAGUACGUCUACAAAACAUGCAUGCCCUAGCGUCAUACCAGCUCAAUGCCUUGCAUCGGCAUGCCAGUCAUUCGCACUUACAAAAAAGAUGCAGUGCAUUUUCCAUUCGAGGAGUUCGACAAGGUUUAUGUACAUCAAAAGCAAAUGCUGCAAUCUAACGCUACAACAUAGCAUCUGGUGCGACCCAAGCGAAGUUAGAUCUACAUUACAGUUCACUCACAUGUUGCACUUACAGCUGAGUAAGGCCGCACCAUCAGAAAUCCUGAAGAACUGGGAAACCCUCAUCAAGCCUCUGGGUGGCAUAGGCUCCUUCACACCCCAUGUGGAUCAUCCAAUCCAGAAGAAUACUCUGCUGAGCUACAGGUUGCACAUGCACAGCAGUGUUACAACUUCAUGA
This 537-nucleotide ribosomal RNA is filed under the name Triticum aestivum (bread wheat). RNAcentral's name for it is "partial small subunit ribosomal RNA". Lineage: Eukaryota; Viridiplantae; Streptophyta; Magnoliopsida; Poales; Poaceae. The record is from RNAcentral.